AACGAACGCUGGCGGCAUGCCUAACACAUGCAAGUCGAACGAGACCUUCGGGUCUAGUGGCGCACGGGUGCGUAACGCGUGGGAACCUGCCCUUAGGUUCGGAAUAACUCCCCGAAAGGGGUGCUAAUACCGGAUAAUGUCUUCGGACCAAAGAUUUAUCGCCUUUGGAUGGGCCCGCGUUGGAUUAGCUAGUUGGUAGGGUAAAAGCCUACCAAGGCGACGAUCCAUAGCUGGUCUGAGAGGAUGAUCAGCCACACUGGGACUGAGACACGGCCCAGACUCCUACGGGAGGCAGCAGUGGGGAAUAUUGGACAAUGGGCGGAAGCCUGAUCCAGCAAUGCCGCGUGAGUGAUGAAGGCCGUAGGGCUGUAAAGCUCUUUUACCCGGGAUGAUAAUGACAGUACCGGGAGAAUAAGCUCCGGCUAACUCCGUG
RNAcentral lists this ribosomal RNA (433 nucleotides) under uncultured bacterium. RNAcentral's name for it is "partial 16S ribosomal RNA". It matches the Rfam family "Bacterial small subunit ribosomal RNA", at positions 29 to 507 of the family's 1533-position model. The record is from RNAcentral.